Molecule: ribosomal RNA, 459 nt
Filed under: uncultured bacterium
Lineage: Bacteria
Description: bacterial SSU rRNA
Rfam family: Bacterial small subunit ribosomal RNA
Source: RNAcentral
UGGAGGCAGCAGUGAGGAAUUUUGGACAAUGGGCGAAAGCCUGAUCCAGCCAUUCCGCGUGAGUGAAGAAGGCCUUCGGGUUGUAAAGCUCUUUCGCAAGGAAAGAAAACUUAGCCACUAAUACUGGCUGAGGAUGACGGUACCUUGAUAAGAAGCACCGGCUAACUACGUGCCAGCAGCCGCGGUAAUACGUAGGGUGCGAGCGUUAAUCGGAAUUACUGGGCGUAAAGCGUGCGCAGGCGGUUUGAUAAGCCAGAUGUGAAAUCCCCGGGCUUAACCUGGGAACUGCGUUUGGAACUGUCAGGCUAGAGUAUGGGAGAGGGAGGUAGAAUUCCACGUGUAGCAGUGAAAUGCGUAGAGAUGUGGAGGAAUACCGAUGGCGAAGGCAGCCUCCUGGCCUAAUACUGACGCUCAUGCACGAAAGCGUGGGGAGCAAACAGGAUUAGAUACCCCGGUAGU